GUUUGGUAUUCCAUGCAAAGAAAAAAUUUCCUCCCCAGUCAGGCACUGGUUGUGGUGCAGGUGGGGCAGCGGCAGCACGGCGCUCAGCGCGGGCGCGGCGCCCAGCUGGCUCAGUAACGCCGAGAGCUGCCCGGCCGACAGGCUCCGGUUGCUCCCGAAGACGCGCAGCACGUCCUCAGCGAAGGUCGUCGCCGCCGGGCUGCCCCGCACCGCCACCCCCGAGAGCAUCUCCGCGCCGCAGCGAGUGUGG
This 250-nucleotide long non-coding RNA is filed under the name Gallus gallus (chicken). Lineage: Eukaryota; Metazoa; Chordata; Aves; Galliformes; Phasianidae. The record is from RNAcentral.